Molecule: small nucleolar RNA, 111 nt
Filed under: Nicotiana sylvestris (wood tobacco)
Lineage: Eukaryota; Viridiplantae; Streptophyta; Magnoliopsida; Solanales; Solanaceae
Also listed under: 1 other name
Description: Small nucleolar RNA Z152/R70/R12/
Rfam family: Small nucleolar RNA Z152/R70/R12/
About the family: Z152 is a member of the C/D class of snoRNA which contain the C (UGAUGA) and D (CUGA) box motifs. Most of the members of the box C/D family function in directing site-specific 2'-O-methylation of substrate RNAs.
Source: Rfam by way of RNAcentral
CAUGCUGUGAUGAGGUGAGCACCAUAUGGUGUUAUAGGGAGUGGAAGUGAGGUUUUAUAGCCUUCUCCGUGAGCCCAUUUUAAUUAAUGACUUCUCCUUCCACCGAGCAUU